AAAAGCGGAGGAAAAGAAACCAACAGGGAUUGCCCUAGUAACGGCGAGUGAAGCGGCAACAGCUCAAAUUUGAAAUCUGGCUCUCGGGCCCGAGUUGUAAUUUGUAGAGGAUACUUUUGAUGCGGUGCCUUCCGAGUUCCCUGGAACGGGACGCCAUAGAGGGUGAGAGCCCCGUCUGGUUGGAUGCCAAAUCUCUGUAAAGUUCCUUCAACGAGUCGAGUAGUUUGGGAAUGCUGCUCUAAAUGGGAGGUAUAUGUCUUCUAAAGCUAAAUACCGGCCAGAGACCGAUAGCGCACAAGUAGAGUGAUCGAAAGAUGAAAAGCACUUUGAAAAGAGAGUUAAAAAGUACGUGAAAUUGUUGAAAGGGAAGCGUUUAUGACCAGACUUGGGCUUGGUUAAUCAUCUGGGGUUCUCCCCAGUGCACUUUUCCAGUCCAGGCCAGCAUCAGUUUUCCCCGGGGGAUAAAGGCGGCGGGAAUGUGGCUCUCUUCGGGGAGUGUUAUAGCCCACCGUGUAAUACCCUGGGGGGGACUGAGGUUCGCGCAUCUGCAAGGAUGC
This 557-nucleotide ribosomal RNA is filed under the name Fusarium oxysporum. RNAcentral's name for it is "LSU rRNA". It matches the Rfam family "Eukaryotic large subunit ribosomal RNA", at positions 46 to 626 of the family's 3401-position model. The record is from RNAcentral. Lineage: Eukaryota; Fungi; Ascomycota; Sordariomycetes; Hypocreales; Nectriaceae.